UGUAGACAAAGGUAUGGAUGGCCAGCACAAUGGAGCUGAACUUCUGCAAAAUACAUGAUAUAAUCUGUCCACAUGGAUAUGCUGCCGAGAUGUAUUGAUUGAGCAGGUAUCAACGUUUAGGUUUCGGUGUCUGAUAUACAGAACUGGUUUGUCGGGUCCUUCUAUUCUGCAUGUUGUGCAUGGGGCCUGUGAAGAUGUGCUGUAGAAGGGAAGUGACCCUCUACACAUGUGACAUGAACUCCUAGGAAUUAACAUGUUCUGGUUAAGUGUAAUGGGAUCUAAUAUUCUAUGCUAUCAAACUUCUGUAUUACAUCUAAUUUCUGUAGGUAAUAUUCAAACUGUAAUGAAGAGAAAAUUAACUUGCAUCCGUUAAUGCCAUUGCACUUCGUAUCUUGUUGUUCA
Molecule: long non-coding RNA, 402 nt
Organism: Lolium rigidum
Lineage: Eukaryota; Viridiplantae; Streptophyta; Magnoliopsida; Poales; Poaceae
Exons: 2
Source: RefSeq, a predicted model, not a curated record